UCCUCUUCCAGCAGGUCUGGGUGGGGACUGAGAUUCGGCCUCCCUAGCCAGCUCCCACGUGACAGCCACGCUGCUGGGCCACAAG
This 85-nucleotide microRNA precursor is filed under the name Dasypus novemcinctus (nine-banded armadillo). RNAcentral describes it as "miRNA (ENSDNOG00000032428.1)". Lineage: Eukaryota; Metazoa; Chordata; Mammalia; Cingulata; Dasypodidae. The record is from RNAcentral.